Molecule: ribosomal RNA, 227 nt
Filed under: uncultured bacterium
Lineage: Bacteria
Description: partial 16S ribosomal RNA
Rfam family: Bacterial small subunit ribosomal RNA
Source: RNAcentral
GACGAACGCUGGCGGCGUGCUUAACACAUGCAAGUCGAGCGGUAAGGCCCUUUCGGGGGUACGACGAGCGGCGAACGGGUGAGUAACACGUGGGCGACCUACCCUCAGCUUCGGGAUAAGCCUGGGGAAACUGGGUCUAAUACCGGAUAUGACCUUCCCUCGCAUGGGGGUUGGUGGAAAGUUUUUUCGGCUGGGGAUGGGCCCGCGGCCUAUCAGCUUUGGUUGGU